AAACCAGCACCUCAAGUGGUCAGGAUGAUUAUUGGGCCUAAAGCUUCCGUAGCCUGCUUUGUCAGUUUUCGGUUAAAUCUGUACGCUCAACGUACAGGCUGCCGGGAAUACUGCAGAUCUAGGGAGUGGGAGAGGUAGACGGUACUCAGGAGGAAGUGGUAAAAUGCUUUGAUCUCUCGAUGACCACCUGUGGCGAAGGCGGUCUACCAGAACACGUCCGACGGUGAGGGAUGAAAGCUGGGGGAGCAAACCGGAUUAGAAACCCCAGUAGUCC
This 274-nucleotide ribosomal RNA is filed under the name uncultured bacterium. RNAcentral describes it as "partial 16S ribosomal RNA". It matches the Rfam family "Archaeal small subunit ribosomal RNA", at positions 473 to 747 of the family's 1478-position model. The record is from RNAcentral.